UUCCGCGCCUGCGCGCCAAGACGCAUCGGAUGCCGGCGGUCUCUGCUGAAGAGAGAAGAUGGCGCUUGACGGACCAGAGCAGGUAUGGCGGGUGGCUGGACCAGUCCAGGCUGGACGCUGCCUGCGACCGGAUCUGCUGUGUCAGCGCCACCCUCGGUGAGUCAGGGCAAGGCUGGGAGAGGAAGACGCGGUAGAAGCGGAGUGAGUGAGGGGAGCGAUGGGCGCGGGAAUGGCCGGCCGACGGGUCGCAGGAGACGGGACGCCAGUCCUUUGGCUCCGUUCCGCUGGCUCCGUCGUCAGUACUGACACCUCGGGCUUGUAGAGCACUUCACGCAGUGCAAAGCGCCCCCGUGUAUAUCAUAUCGCCUCUCGGUCUUCCUAAAAGUCGUAUGA
RNAcentral lists this small RNA (393 nucleotides) under Pongo abelii (Sumatran orangutan). RNAcentral's name for it is "processed transcript". The record is from RNAcentral. Lineage: Eukaryota; Metazoa; Chordata; Mammalia; Primates; Hominidae.